This is a long non-coding RNA of Anas platyrhynchos (mallard), 780 nucleotides long. RefSeq lists it as uncharacterized. Lineage: Eukaryota; Metazoa; Chordata; Aves; Anseriformes; Anatidae. The record is from RefSeq and is a predicted model, not a curated record.
CCGCCUGUCACGCGGGAGACCGGGGUUCGAUUCCCCGACGGGGAGGUUGUGCUGUUUUGUGCUCGGCGGUGGUGGUGCAAUGUGACCGAGGCCGUUACUUAGUGGGACGGGGAAGAACAUGCUUUCUCCAGGGAUCCUCACUCGAUCGCUAGUGAAUCUCUCUGCCGCCGACCGGGGCUGUAGCCCGUUCCCGGUCGAGGGAAGGUCUACUUCGGGUCGGGUUUGCAGGCCAUUCCCGGCAGGGACAGCAGCAGGACGCGGUGGGUGCCUGGGCAGCGGCUGGCUUGAUGGUGAGGUGUCCCGCGGGGGCAAUGGUAUGUGUUGUCCUCGUUAGUAUAGUGGUCUGCCAGUGGCUGACAUGGUAGAAAGAUGUGCUUUUCUAUUCCAUUUUUGUGAAGUUAGAGGCAGUGCCAAUUUAAAUUUUGACUGAGGCUCUGCAAUGGUGUGUUGAGGAAUUUUUGAAACAGCAAGGAGGCCAUGACUUGCUGCAGCUGAGCAAACCAAGAUACCAGGACGACUACGAGGAAUUCCCAUGACGAUGUUUUCUUAUCGCCCGACUGAGGAAUUAAAAAUAUUGUUGCAAGCAGCUGGCACUUCCUUCAAGGACUACACUACGUGACUGCUAAUCACAAAGGGGUUGUUUUCUUCCAGGUGGGGUUGUUUUCUUGCAGUUGUUUCUCUGAGUGCUUUCAACCAAUAAUCUUGUGUGAAACUCUAUCCGCCCCUGCUAAAUUUGCUAUAAGAGUCAGACUAUUUAGGUAAUAAAGAGAGAGCAUGAUA